RNAcentral lists this ribosomal RNA (636 nucleotides) under uncultured bacterium. RNAcentral describes it as "bacterial SSU rRNA". It matches the Rfam family "Bacterial small subunit ribosomal RNA", at positions 62 to 687 of the family's 1533-position model. The record is from RNAcentral.
UCGAGGGGCAGCGGGGAGGAAGCUUGCUUUCUCCGCCGGCGACCGGCGCACGGGUGAGUAACACGUAUGCAACCUGCCCCUGUCAGGGGGACAACCCGCCGAAAGGCGGGCUAAACCCGCGUACAUGCCACCGGGGCAUCCCGGAGGCAGGAAAGGCUUCGGCCGGACAGGGAUGGGCAUGCGGCGCAUUAGGCAGUAGGCGGGGUAACGGCCCACCUAACCGACGAUGCGUAGGGGUUCUGAGAGGAAGGUCCCCCACACUGGUACUGAGACACGGACCAGACUCCUACGGGAGGCAGCAGUGAGGAAUAUUGGUCAAUGGUCGGGAGACUGAACCAGCCAAGCCGCGUGAGGGAGGAAGGUACAGAGUAUCGUAAACCUCUUUUGUCAGGGAACAAAGGCGGGGACGUGUCCCCGGAUGAGUGUACCUGAAGAAAAAGCAUCGGCUAACUCCGUGCCAGCAGCCGCGGUAAUACGGAGGAUGCGAGCGUUAUCCGGAUUUAUUGGGUUUAAAGGGUGCGCAGGCGGUCUGUUAAGUCAGCGGUCAAAGCCCGGGGCUCAACCCCGGCCCGCCGUUGAAACUGGCAGUCUCGAGUUGGAGAGAAGUAUGCGGAAUGCGCGGUGUAGCGGUGAAAU